UACGAAGGGGGCUAGCGUUGUUCGGAAUCACUGGGCGUAAAGCGCACGCAGGCGGAUCGUUAAGUCAGGGGUGAAAUCCCGAGGCUCAACCUCGGAACUGCCUUUGAUACUGGCGAUCUUUGAGUCCGGGAGAGGUGAGUGGAACUGCGAGUGUAGAGGUGAAAUUCGUAGAUAUUCGCAAGAACACCAGUGGCGAAGGCGGCUCACUGGCCCGGUACUGACGCUGAGGUGCGAAAGCGUGGGGAGCAAACAGG
This 254-nucleotide ribosomal RNA is filed under the name uncultured bacterium. RNAcentral's name for it is "partial 16S ribosomal RNA". It matches the Rfam family "Bacterial small subunit ribosomal RNA", at positions 524 to 776 of the family's 1533-position model. The record is from RNAcentral.